Long non-coding RNA from Rhododendron vialii, 1863 nucleotides. RefSeq lists it as uncharacterized. NCBI's taxonomy places the organism in Eukaryota, Viridiplantae, Streptophyta, Magnoliopsida, Ericales, Ericaceae. The record is from RefSeq and is a predicted model, not a curated record. The transcript is spliced from 4 exons.
CUAAGAUCCUCAUUUCUCUCCAAAGGGGUUUAAUGUAAGAACUUGUUAGAUUUUUCUACCUGGGCUUGGGCUUGGGUACAACUUGGUAUGAGUCAUAUGAUCCAUUUAAACCUCAGAUAGUAUUUAUGAGCUCUAACCAACAUUGCUCACUGAAAAGCUAGGUAAACCUAACCACCUUAAUUUCUCCCAUGAAUUCAAUAAAAGCACAAUGUGUAAAUGCAACCACCCACUUCAAGUCUUCAACCAUUUAGUUAUCUCUCUCUGUCAUUUCGUACAUGGAGUGUGGAGGGAGAAGAUGAAUACCAAGUAGUGAGAGAAGAAAGAAGAAGAAACAGCAGAAAAAGUUGCAGCCUUCUGUAGCAAGUAUGGAAGUUUGGUCGGCAAAAUCUAGCAAAUACAGUUGGUAUUAUUGGUGUAAUUCUGGGAAGAAAAGACUACAAAUGACAGAAGGGCAAUACCUUAUUUUGACAACAAUCGAUAUCAAGGGGAACUAAGACUAUACAAGAGCAAAUUAUGACCGAGGGAUGUGCCAGUUCUUACAAAGUAAAGGAUUGAGAUUUGAGACUGGAGGCCUUGACACAUGGAAAUUGAGUGGGCUCAAAUCGGACUAACAAUUUAAUCUGCUACAAAACCAGAAGAUCUAUGGAUGCCUUUAAGGAAUAUGCUAUUCCGUUCUUGCCAAAGGAAACAGACCAUUACUCGGGUAGAACUUUAUGAUUCGUGUACAGUGUGAACUCAUGGCCUUCCUAUACCUUAAAUCUGUUCAUUACACGGGGGCAAUACUCAACUCUCUACUGUUAUCUCAAAAGAAGCAAUGAACAAGAAGUGGUUUGAUUUGAUACCUCACUUCUUGAAUUCUCAUCCCGAAGAAAAUCAAACACUCUCUUUGGUGAAACUGGGAGCCAAAACGAGGUUGCAGCGCUUAGCACGAUUCCUGGAGGCCUGCCGGGGUCAUCCAUACUCUUUCUGGUCAUGACCCGCACAUCAUCGGCUCCACUUCCAGAUAGAGUCGUCCACGCAUGUGCCGUAGAAGCUCCAACACCAGUGCAAAAGCUCAUAGCCAUUCUCUCAGCCAGCUUCAACAUACUCUUUCUCCCUUCUGGACUUGUUAUCACUGUCAGGUAGACAGUUACUAUGGGGCAGUAAUGGGAUCUAAUUUUUCUUGACGCUCCAAAUAGUUGAUGAUUCAACUAAUAAAGUAUUUCUUUCUGCACCUGAAGAAACUGAAGUGAGUCAAGUGACUUUAUUACCUCCAAUGUCUCCUGACGGUAUGUUAUUAGCCAUUGCACUCGCGAGACGUUCACACUGUCGGUCCAGAGUGGCCACCCACCGUUUUGCCCCGAAUGCUAGACCCGCAUUUACUAGCGGCCUGUAUAUGCUGUGAACCGCUCUAUCGUCGACUUCGACGUGUUCCACCCAUGUGACCUAGGAAUUUGUAACAUCAUAUGUUUAUUCAGUUACAUAAUCUAUAUGUUAAAAUAUGGAGAAUACGAAAAUAGAAAGAGUUGUUAGCACCUUUGAGUAACCAUUUGGUACUUCUUGAAUUAGACAACCUGACGGCCGCCUUCGGCACCGGGACAUUGCACUGGGCCUCAGAUUGUCCAAAGAAACAUCAACCACUGCCCAGGUUCCAUCAGCAUGCUGUUUGCAAUACCUUACAAAGUAGUUUUCUCUUGUUGGAACAAGUGGGGAAGGGACUUGGUACUCUGCUGUCAUCUGAAAUCACCAUUAUGUUAGUAUCAUUUUACAGUAAUAAAAGUUAAUUGAAACAGAUAGGAUUCGGGUUUUGGUCGAUAUUAUUUAUUUAGUUUAAUUUAUGAAUUGUUUUAGGAAUAUUUUGAGUUAAGAUGUAAGGAUUUGUUC